RNAcentral lists this ribosomal RNA (443 nucleotides) under uncultured bacterium. RNAcentral's name for it is "partial 16S ribosomal RNA". It matches the Rfam family "Bacterial small subunit ribosomal RNA", at positions 339 to 795 of the family's 1533-position model. The record is from RNAcentral.
CUACGGGCCGCUGCAGUCGAGAAUCUUCGACAAUGGGCGAAAGCCUGAUCGAGCGACGUCGCGUGGUGGAUGAAGCACUUCGGUGCGUAAACACCUUUUAUAGGGGAGAAAGUUUAUUGAUGUUACCUUAUGAAUAAGGGGCCUCUAAGCUCGUGCCAGCAGAGGCGGUAAUACGAGCGCCCCGAGCGUUAUCCGGAAUUACUGGGCGUAAAGGGUGUGUAGGCGGCCAUGUUAGUCCCGUGUUAAAUCCUCUCGCUUAACGAGAGAUUCGCGCGGGAUACGGCAUGGCUCGAGGGUGUGAGGGGUCUGUGGAACUCACGGUGUAGGGGUGAAAUCCGUUGAUAUCGUGGGGAACACCAAACGCGAAGGCAGCAGACUGGCACACUCCUGACGCUGAAACACGAAAGCCAGGGUAGCGAAGCGGAUUAGAUACCCUAGUAGUC